RNAcentral lists this ribosomal RNA (423 nucleotides) under uncultured bacterium. Its description in RNAcentral is "partial 16S ribosomal RNA". It matches the Rfam family "Bacterial small subunit ribosomal RNA", at positions 362 to 777 of the family's 1533-position model. The record is from RNAcentral.
UCUUCCACAAUGGGCGAAAGCCUGAUGGAGCAAUGCCGCGUGGGUGAAGAAGGUCUUCGGAUNGUAAAACCCUGUUGUUAGAGAANNCCNNNCNUGAGAGUAACUGUUCACGUUUCGACGGUAUCUAACCNNNANGNCACGGCUAACUACGUGCCAGCAGCCGCGGUAAUACGUAGGUGGCGAGCGUUAUCCGGAUUUAUUGGGCGUAAAGGGAACGCAGGCGGUCUUUUAAGUCUGAUGUGAAAGCCUUCGGCUUAACCGGAGUAGUGCAUUGGAAACUGGGAGACUUGAGUGCAGAAGAGGAGAGUGGAACUCCAUGUGUAGCGGUGAAAUGCGUAGAUAUAUGGAAGAACACCAGUGGCGAAAGCGGCUCUCUGGUCUGUAACUGACGCUGAGGUUCGAAAGCGUGGGUAGCAAACAGGA